This 449-nucleotide ribosomal RNA is filed under the name uncultured bacterium. RNAcentral's name for it is "bacterial SSU rRNA". It matches the Rfam family "Bacterial small subunit ribosomal RNA", at positions 470 to 916 of the family's 1533-position model. The record is from RNAcentral.
UGACCGUACCGGAAGAAUAAGCACCGGCUUACUUCGUGCCCGCAGCCGCGGUAAUACCAAGGGUGCAAGCGUUACUCGGAAUUACUGGGCGUAAAGCGUGCGUAGGUGGUUCGUUAAGUCUGAUGUGAAAGCCCUGGGCUCAACCUGGGAAUUGCAUUGGAUACUGGCAGGCUUUAGUGCCGUAGAAGGUAGUGGAAUUCCCGGUGUAGCAGUGAAAUGCGUAAAGAUCGGGAGGAACAUCUGUGGCGAAGGCGGCCAUCUGGACCCGCACUGACACUGAGGCACGAAAGCGUGGGGAGCAAACAGGAUUAGAUACCCUGGUAGUCCACGCCCUAAACGAUGCGAACUGGAUGUUGGGUGCAACUAGGUCACUCAGUAUCGAAGCUAACGCGUUAAGUUCUCCGCCUGGGGAGUACGGUCGCAAGACUGAAACUCAAAGGGAUUGACGG